GCUUUAGCGCAUAGAUUUCCAUAUCCAGCUUUUGGACAGUAAUAGAGUUGGCUGCAGACAUUCCAGUUGCGACAACUGCACCGACAGUAGCACAAACUAAUGCAACAAUUAUAGCGGUGAGGAACCUUUUGGGUCGGUUGCUCAUCGGAAUAGAACUGGAUACAAAUGGUUUCCGGGCUUGCUCCAAGAUGUUUCGCACACGGUCCUGUGCUCUUUCGAGGUGCAUCUGGUACCAAGUCUGUAACUCAG
RNAcentral lists this long non-coding RNA (249 nucleotides) under Pelobates cultripes (western spadefoot toad). Lineage: Eukaryota; Metazoa; Chordata; Amphibia; Anura; Pelobatidae. The record is from RNAcentral.